UUGUCCUGGCCUGUGCUUUCUCUGCUCCCCUGUGCUCGUUUGUAAGAGGGGAGUCUGGCAGGACACACAGCAAUCUCCCUCUCAGUUUAGGAGGGCUGCCCAGAGCAUAGGGCUGGCUCUUAAAGGCAUGAGAAGACAAU
Artibeus jamaicensis (Jamaican fruit-eating bat) is the source of this 140-nucleotide non-coding RNA. RefSeq annotates it as small Cajal body-specific RNA 11. The record is from RefSeq and is a predicted model, not a curated record. Lineage: Eukaryota; Metazoa; Chordata; Mammalia; Chiroptera; Phyllostomidae. The transcript has a single exon.